CUGAAGGUUGAGUUGAUUACCAGUAGCUCACGAUAUAAUCAUUCAUGCCUACAUAACACAGCUUUCAUAAGAACCCAAUAGGACAGGGUUCAAGGACCCUCUAAAGAAUGCCACACCUAUAGAGGCAUGGAAACUCUUUGCCACUUUCAUCUGACUAUUGAUCUAUAUCCUUUGUAAUGCCUCUUAUAAGAAAUGGGCAGAUGCUAGCAGUGUUUGUGAGAAAAACUGAUGGAUCCUGCAGAUUAACUAUGGACAGCCAAAUAUUGAGUAAAGUGAUGUCUACAACAGCAUCAGCUAUGCCUGAUAUGGUGUUAAUUCACAUUGUGAAGGUCCAAAAUCAGAAGAUGAUACAGAAAGAUUGCUCUGGUUGCCUGGUUUCUGAAGAAAUCGUGUACCCUGUCUGGAUAGUGUCUUACUUCCUAUCCACAAAGUUGUGAAAUAAUCUGGAAUUAAAUGGCAACCUAAACAACCCUAGAGUUGCCUGAACACAGAGCCAUUGCUGUGUUGAUCAUUAUAGCAGGAUUGCUAAAGUCCUAUUGCAUGCUUUAAGAUGCCUUGCGUUUGGUGAAUUGAAGCCUGAUAUGUCAACAUACUCUCUGUAAACACAGCAGCACAGAGGGCAAAGAAACACUUAUCCAGCACCACAGCUAGGACAAAAGGAAUUAUUUUGACAGUAAAUGGACUUGCAGCUUAAGUUAAGUGCAUUAAUAUUGGGAUGGUAUUAACUAUACAAAAUUGUUUCUAAGCAAAGGUUGGUAUGUACCCAAUUGUGACUAAACCAAAAGAAACAAAUCUGGAAACUGAAGUAUCAAUACGUGAAAAGCGUUCUUUUGGUAUUGGGAGUGCCAGGUGUCUUUGUUUCAUGAACUACUUCUCCGUAAUAGCAUGCAGCCAUCUUCAAGAGGUGAGAAUUUCACUUAGCGACUUAAACAGAAG
This 936-nucleotide long non-coding RNA is filed under the name Homo sapiens (human). RNAcentral describes it as "long non-coding RNA NONHSAT202430.1". Lineage: Eukaryota; Metazoa; Chordata; Mammalia; Primates; Hominidae. The record is from RNAcentral.